This is a long non-coding RNA of Colossoma macropomum (tambaqui), 806 nucleotides long. RefSeq lists it as uncharacterized. The transcript is spliced from 3 exons. Lineage: Eukaryota; Metazoa; Chordata; Actinopteri; Characiformes; Serrasalmidae. The record is from RefSeq and is a predicted model, not a curated record.
AGUAGGGGUUUCUAAUAAAGUGGUCAGUGAAUGGAUGUUCAGGUAGGGGUUUCUAAUAAAGUGGCCAGUAAGUGGAUACCAAAAGCAGAGAUCUAUUAGAAGGUUACAUCUCCGAAUGGCUGCUAUGUUCUGUAACAGUGUAGCUCAGAGAUGUAAAUAAAUAUAUAAAUGUCAUGUGAUCACAGGCUUUGUGUUUGUAACUCACCCAACCGGAUUACUGUUUUUUUAUUCUGUUCUUUUUAUACCCGUAUUGAAGGAAGAGCUGAGGGAGUGAAAAAUAGGAGGCCUUGUGAAAAGAGAUGAGAAACAUGAGUCCAAUGAAAAGAGAAAAUAAUGAUGCAGGGAUGGAGGAGACAACAGAGCUGCUGAUGUUGCUGGGUGGAGGAUGAAAGAGAGAAAAGAAUAAAUGCAGAGGCCGGAGCGGCAGCACAGACGCAGUUAACGGGUGAAAACGCUCUGGCGGUAAUGAGCAUUGCUGCUGGUGUGUCAUUACUGUGAGGACGCCGCACUCAUUCGUCAGAACGGGCCCAGAUGACGUGCGGUCGUGUUCCUUUCCAAAGCACUUGGGAUCAAACCGAAAAUGGAGCGCCCCGAGAUCUCUGUGCUUUUAACUCUGGCAGCCGGACACGCUGCGUCUUUUCCUUUGUUUCGGCCUCCACGACUGAUUCUGAUUCAGUGACUCAUCACUCCAGCCAUUAUUUUUCUCCAGCGAAUGCUCACAUGACGCACUUUUCUCCAUCUGGAGAGAACCAGGCCAUCCUUGGAAAACAUGAGCUCUAGCAGAAGACAGAGGAAACUCUCCGAAC